Molecule: ribosomal RNA, 811 nt
Filed under: uncultured bacterium
Lineage: Bacteria
Description: bacterial SSU rRNA
Rfam family: Bacterial small subunit ribosomal RNA
Source: RNAcentral
AGAGUUUGAUCAUGGCUCAGAUUAACGCUGGCGGCAUGCCUAACACAUGCAAGUCGAGCGAGAAACCGCCCUUCGGGGUGGGAGUACAGCGGCGCACGGGUGAGUAGCGCGUGGGUAAUCUACCUCUAUCUGGGGGAUAACACACCGAAAAGGUGUGCUAAUACCGCAUAAACCGACAAACCUGCGGGGAAGUCGGGAAAGAUGGCCUCUUAUUAAAGCUGUCGGAUGAAGAUGAGCCCGCGUCCCAUUAGCUUGUUGGUAGGGUAACGGCCUACCAAGGCGACGAUGGGUAGCUGGUCUGAGAGGACGACCAGCCACACUGGAACUGGUACACGGUCCAGACUCCUACGGGAGGCAGCAGUGAGGAAUAUUGCGCAAUGGGGGAAACCCUGACGCAGCGAUGCCGCGUGGGUGAAGAAGGCUUUCGGGUCGUAAAGCCCUGUCAGGUGGGAAGAACAGUCUCUUAUUGAAUAGAUAGGAGGCCUGACGGUACCACCGAAGGAAGCACCGGCUAACUCCGUGCCAGCAGCCGCGGUAAGACGGAGGGUGCAAGCGUUAUUCAGAAUCAUUGGGCGUAAAGAGUGUGUAGGCGGCCGGUUAAGUCAGGUGUGAAAGCCCAGGGCUCAACCCUGGAAGUGCACUUGAAACUGGUCGGCUUGAGUUCGGGAGAGGGUAGCGGAAUUCCUGGUGUAGAGGUGAAAUUCGUAGAUAUCAGGAGGAACACCGGUGGCGAAGGCGGCUACCUGGACCGAAACUGACGCUGAGACACGAAAGCGUGGGGAGCAAACAGGAUUAGAUACCCUAGUAGUCC